GAUAGAUCUAUGAUGUUUCUCAAAAACUGCGUUAUCUUCCUGAACCAUUGGUCUUGAAGAAGAAUAAAUGAUUCUGAGAUCUGUA
Molecule: small nucleolar RNA, 85 nt
Organism: Impatiens glandulifera
Lineage: Eukaryota; Viridiplantae; Streptophyta; Magnoliopsida; Ericales; Balsaminaceae
Product: small nucleolar RNA snoR27
Exons: 1
Source: RefSeq, a predicted model, not a curated record